Neofelis nebulosa (Clouded leopard) is the source of this 1790-nucleotide long non-coding RNA. RefSeq lists it as uncharacterized. Lineage: Eukaryota; Metazoa; Chordata; Mammalia; Carnivora; Felidae. The transcript is spliced from 3 exons. The record is from RefSeq and is a predicted model, not a curated record.
AUGAAAAGAAAAGAGUACUAGAGAAUAGUGGAACAAGCUAUCAAAUAGCGUCUGGUGACUUUCAGCUUCACAAAGACAGGGGAAUCAAGAGUUCAGCAUGAAAACAUUCUCUGAAAUGGUCUACUCAUUGGUUGGAUUUUCUUCUUAAAUUGUAGCUAAUGAGAAUCAAGAUUCAUCCAAUUUUGGCAUAUGAGGAAAAAAAAGAAGCAAGAUUCAUGUCAUAUGGCACAGAAUGAAAUAAUUUUCCAGACGGGCAAUCAAUAUUUCAUUUUAGACCAUGAAAACAGAAGCCCAAGCCUAGGAGACUCCAGCCACCUCCCUUCUCAGCGUAUUUACAUCAGUGGCUGACCAUACAUCGGAGGAAAUCAGGUAACUGCAGAUAAAUGUCACAAUAAAUUCAUGGUCUCCACAACAGCAAGGCGGACCUCACCAUUUCUAAGAAAUCCCUUUUUCUAUGUUUCCUCAGCUCUUUUUCAAGAUCCUUUGGUACUUAUUUCAAACAAACAAGCAAGUGUAAUAAUGCUGGCAUCCAGGACAAGCAGUUUCAAAGGCACCCUGAAAACAACUCUAAAUUCAUGUUGUGACUAACAGAUCAGGGUGAUGAUUAUCAACACAGGACAUCUGAAAGCAUCCUUCUUUAACCAGUCAGGCCUCAGGUAUUGAGGCAAGUAGAAAUGUUCUGGGCCUUGGCUGAGGUGGACCAACCGUAUCUUUGCCUUGCUGUUCAACAUUUUGUUGGGCCUAACUUUAAAAUUCAGCUUACGAUCAGCAAGAAUAGUGAAAGGAGGAAGCUUCCCAGUGUUAGGCACCGAAAAAAAGAUUGCUGCCUGACCAGCCGCUGUAGCAAAAGGCGAUUAAGGGUGUUCCAAAACUUAGUGGGGCCUUAGACAGUUAUUAGACAUUUUUUGGCUUUGGUUUUCUGUAAAAUGUACACAGUAGACCAAUUUAAGAGGCUUGUUGUGAGAAAUGAAUGGAAGAAUAUGUGUAGAGUUUAGGAUAUUACCUGGUCCCUCUUAAGCCCUGAGAUAAAUAUUAGCUAUUAGUUGCUGAUCCCAUUUCCAUCUAUAAUUGUGGCUCCACCUCUCUUCUUACUACCACACCAAAUUUCUGUAAAAUCCUGCCAGUGUUUGUAAUCUCCAUUUCCUCAUCUCUCUGCCAUCUCUUCAUACCCACAAUUUCUUUGGACCUGUCCUCAUUGAGGUCAUCAGCGGCCUCCUUGAUACUAAAUGCCCAGAAUUCUCCCUCCAGGCUUUUACUUGUUUUUUUUGUUUGUUUGUUUUGUUCUGUUUUUUGUGUUUUUGUUUUUAUGUUUAUGUUUGAGAGAGACAGCGCACCAGCGCGGGAGGGGCAGAAGAGGGAGACACAGAAUCUGAAGCAGGCUCCAGGCUCUGAGCUGUCAGCACAGAGCCUGACGUGAAGCUCCAAGCUAGGAGAUCAUGACUUGAGCUGAAGUCAGAUGCGUAACCGACCGAGCCACCCAGGCCCCUACUUUGUUGAUCUCUUAGCAUCACUUGACACUUGACCGCUCUCUUCCCACUAUUUAUGAAGAGGCACACCCCUUGAUUUCCUCUAAUUUUUUAAGUUACAUUUAUAAUCCUCUUUUUCAUGAUUCUAGUCUGCCUAUUUUUUCAAUAUUGGUGUUCUGGAAGAUUCUAUCACAGGGUCUUUCUUUCCUCAUUCUACAUGCUUUUCCCUGGUAUAUCUAAUGUCGUCUCACAAGAUUUCCAUCUCUAUUCUUUAGGGUGAAGACUAAGCUAUUGCAAAAAAAAAAAAAAAAAAAAAAAAAAGAG